This 444-nucleotide ribosomal RNA is filed under the name uncultured bacterium. RNAcentral describes it as "bacterial SSU rRNA". It matches the Rfam family "Bacterial small subunit ribosomal RNA", at positions 28 to 456 of the family's 1533-position model. The record is from RNAcentral.
GAUGAACGCUGGCGGCGUGCCUAACACAUGCAAGUCGAACGGACUGCUACAAACGGAGAUUCGUCAAAGAUUGUAGUAAGUUAGUGGCGGACGGGUGAGUAACGCGUGGGUAACCUGCCUCAUAGAGGGGGAUAACGAUUGGAAACGAUCGCUAAUACCGCAUAAGCGCACGGUACCGCAUGGUACAGUGUGAAAAACUCCGGUGGUAUGGGAUGGAUCCGCGUCUGAUUAGCCAGUUGGCGGGGUAACGGCCCACCAAAGCGACGAUCAGUAGCCGACCUGAGAGGGCGACCGGCCACAUUGGGACUGAGACACGGCCCAAACUCCUACGGGAGGCAGCAGUGGGGAAUAUUGCACAAUGGGGGGAAACCCUGAUGCAGCGACGCCGCGUGAGCGAAGAAGUAUUCGGUAUGUAAAGCUCUAUCAGCAGGGAAGAAGAAUGAC